This is a long non-coding RNA of Zingiber officinale, 422 nucleotides long. RefSeq lists it as uncharacterized. The transcript has 2 exons. The record is from RefSeq and is a predicted model, not a curated record. Lineage: Eukaryota; Viridiplantae; Streptophyta; Magnoliopsida; Zingiberales; Zingiberaceae.
UCUGAUCUUGUUUUUGGCUGAGUUUCAUGUGGUAAAUAGUGCUCUUAUAAUGGUCCUUGGAAGAGCAAAGGUGAAUCUGCAGUGACAGAGUAGUGGAUUACAUUAUGUAUCAUUCUGAAUAAUUCCAUAGCAUUGCCUGAGGAUGAUUUAGUUUAGCUGUUGCAGUAUCCACUUUGCAUUGAUAAUCUUCUCUUGGGCAGAUACACAGAUGGAAGGACUGGGAAACGGAUACGACAUCGGCUGAGUAUGCCUUCACGACUGGUAUAUAUAUGUUCACUAUUUUUUGUUUUUUUGUCCCAGAUUUGCAUCCUUGGAUCCUAGUUUGAGUGGUAAAAGUGUAGAACCAGUAUAUCGUGAUGCAAAAGGGAAAGCUAUUUCAAAGGAAGAGCUACUGAAACCAAAGGAGGGAGAGAAACCAAAGG